This 98-nucleotide transfer RNA is filed under the name Methanothrix soehngenii GP6. RNAcentral's name for it is "Methanosaeta concilii GP6 tRNA". It matches the Rfam family "tRNA". From Rfam's summary of the family: Transfer RNA (tRNA) molecules are approximately 80 nucleotides in length. Their secondary structure includes four short double-helical elements and three loops (D, anti-codon, and T loops). Further hydrogen bonds mediate the characteristic L-shaped molecular structure. tRNAs have two regions of fundamental functional importance: the anti-codon, which is responsible for specific mRNA codon recognition, and the 3' end, to which the tRNAs corresponding amino acid is attached (by aminoacyl-tRNA synthetases). tRNAs cope with the degeneracy of the genetic code in two manners: having more than one tRNA (with a specific anti-codon) for a particular amino acid; and 'wobble' base-pairing, i.e. permitting non-standard base-pairing at the 3rd anti-codon position. RNAcentral also lists the same sequence under 1 other name. Lineage: Archaea; Methanobacteriati; Methanobacteriota; Methanomicrobia; Methanotrichales; Methanotrichaceae. The record is from Rfam by way of RNAcentral.
GCGUCGAUGGUCUAGUGGUUAUGACUUGGGCCUUCCAGGCAGAUCAAUAGAAUCUGCGAAGCAAGCCUACAACCCGGGUUCGAAUCCCGGUCGACGCA